RNAcentral lists this ribosomal RNA (497 nucleotides) under uncultured bacterium. RNAcentral's name for it is "partial 16S ribosomal RNA". It matches the Rfam family "Bacterial small subunit ribosomal RNA", at positions 28 to 507 of the family's 1533-position model. The record is from RNAcentral.
GAUGAACGCUGGCGGCGUGCCUAAUACAUGCAAGUCGAGCGAACGGACGAGAAGCUUGCUUCUCUGAUGUUAGCGGCGGACGGGGGAGUAACACGUGGAUAACCUACCUAUAAGACUGGGAUAACUUCGGGAAACCGGAGCUAAUACCGGAUGAUAUUUUGAACCGCAUGGUUCAAAAGUGAAAGACGGUCUUGCUGUCACUGAUAGAUGGAUCCGCGCUGCAUUAGCUAGUUGGUAAGGUAACGGCUUACCAAGGCAACGAUGCAUAGCCGACCUGAGAGGGUGAUCGGCCACACUGGAACUGAGACACGGUCCAGACUCCUACGGGAGGCAGCAGUAGGGAAUCUUCCGCAAUGGGCGAAAGCCUGACGGAGCAACGCCGCGUGAGUGAUGAAGGUCUUCGGAUCGUAAAACUCUGUUAUUAGGGAAGAACAUAUGUGUAAGUAACUGUGCACAUCUUGACGGUACCUAAUCAGAAAGCCACGGCUAACUACGCG